AGUGAACGCUGGCGGCGUGCCUAAUACAUGCAAGUCGAACGGAGUGGCGCACGGGUGAGUAAUGUAUAGCUAAUCUGCCCUACACUAGAGGACAACAGUUGGAAAGGACUGCUAAUACUCUAUAGUGUAGGAUGAGGCUAUAUUGUAUCAGCUAGUUGGUGAGGUAAUAGCUCACCAAGGCUAUGACGCAUCACUGAUGUGAGAGGAUGACCAGUCACGCUGGAACUGAGACAUGGUCCAGCCUCCUACGCGAGGAGGCAGGAGGGAAUAUUGCUGCCUAUGGGAAAGCCUGAAGCAGCAACGGCGCGUGGAGGAUAAAACUUUUCGGAGCAUACAAUCCUUUUAUUAGGGAAGCGGUACCUAACGAAUAAGCACCGGCUCACUCAGUUCCAGCAGCCGCGGUAAUAC
RNAcentral lists this ribosomal RNA (408 nucleotides) under uncultured bacterium. Its description in RNAcentral is "partial 16S ribosomal RNA". It matches the Rfam family "Bacterial small subunit ribosomal RNA", at positions 29 to 526 of the family's 1533-position model. The record is from RNAcentral.